Molecule: long non-coding RNA, 6572 nt
Filed under: Sus scrofa (pig)
Lineage: Eukaryota; Metazoa; Chordata; Mammalia; Artiodactyla; Suidae
Description: lncRNA (ENSSSCG00000057573.1)
Source: RNAcentral
AUUGUUUUUGUUGGUCUUUAUUCUUCCCUUCUUCUCUUGUUCUCUCCUCUUGUGAUUUUAUCACUAUCUUUAGUGCUGUAUUUGAGUUGAUUUUUCUUAUUUGUUUGUGUAUCAAUUGUAGAUUUUUGGUUUGCAGUUAUUCUGGAGUUUUGAUAUAAGAAUCUAUAUGUAUAUGAGAUUGUUUUAGGUUGUUGUUGUCUUAAUUGCAAGUGCGUCACCAGUGUCCUGCAUUUGUACCCAUCUCUUCUCAUGAUUUCUGAUUUUGGUGGUAUAAUUGUGCAUGGAUGAUUUCAUAUCUUUACUAUAUAUAUAUACCUUUACUGGUGAGCCUUGUCAUUUGUGGAAAGGACAGGAGAUACAAAUACAGGUGUAGGGUAGCCAGGAAGGACUCUGAGGUGUUGAAUUUAUUUGAAUUGAAGGUUAUCAGGGUACAGCCAUGAUUUAGAAAAAUGUACCUCCCUGCCUCCACUGGAAGGGAAGAGUAGUCAUGAUGGCCCAGAAGCAAUGAGUGCAUUUAGUCCCCAGAUUUUGGUAUCUAAGAACAAGUCUCCAUUAAAACAGGGAUUCUGUGGCAAAAUGGCUGGUCUUUGUCUGGAGCAGGUAAAGGCCAAGGUGAGCCUGGCAGUGCUCCCGGGCCAGUGGUGAUUUAUAGAAGAUUCUUGGCUCCCACGUGGCCCCACCACGAAUGAACCCAGCUCCUCCAAUGCCAAAGCUGGCCAUUCUUUUCUCGUCACCAUGACGUCCUCCACGUGAAAUAUGUGCUCCACUGUACAGACUCUGCAUCUUGGUGUUGCUUUGUAAUUUCAGAAUUUUGUCCCGGUCACCAAUGCAGUGUCCCCCCCAUCUGUUUUCUUCUCCUUUAUGAUAAAUCGGGGUUUUGAAAAGCCAGUCCCAGGCUGCCAGAGGAUCCAGGCUCAGGCUCUGAACUGCUUCCAUGUUGUAAAGCCUGCAGUGCUUUCCUGUGAAAAUGCUGUAUGAAUUCCAGACUGACACGGGUCCACAGCUGACUUGGGGACAUAUGUCCUUUUGCAGUCUAUCCUUCCUGGCCCAAGUGGUCACUCCCCUGUUCUUCUCCUGGGGGAGGAGUGGACAGAGAGAGAGGGCAGGGGCUGAGAGGAGCAAAAGCAGGAGGAAUGGAAAUUUUCCCAUCUUCUUUUUAUUUUAUUAUUAUUACUAUUUGCUUUUUAGGGCACACCUGCAUCACAUGGAGGUUCCCAGACUAGGGGUCAAAUCAGAGCUACAGCUGCCAGCCACAGCCACAGCCACGCAGGAUCCAAGCCGAAUCUGUGGCCUACACCACAGCUCAUGACAACGCUGGAUCCUUAACCCACUGAGUGAGGCCAUGGACUGAACUUGUGACAUCAUGGUUACUAAUCAGAUUCAGGAAAUACACUUUUUUCAAUGAAUACUGAAACUUUCAUAGAAAAGCUUUCGGCGGUACACAUUAAACUGUAUUCCUGAUUGUGUAUCAGGUUUUUAUCAAGUGCAGGGAGCCCAGAUCUUCCAGGAUGGUCUCAGGGGGCUCUUUCCUCAUAAAACAAAGGGAUGUUGGGCCCUUUCCUAGUCCAGGGCUGGGCAGGCAUCACACUUUAUCACGGGACAAUUAACUUCCAAACAUCAGGCAGGGGAUCCUCCCGCCUCUGGGGCUCCCUCACCUCCAUCCAAUGCCCCUGACUUCACAGCCAUUAUCAAGCCCUGUAAACACACAGGGCCCUCCCUGCUCCCUGGGGUUCAAGGCACCACCUCCAGCUUUAAUCUCUAGGCAGCCCUGAUUUAGGCUCACAAAUGCCAAAUUGAAAGCCCCCUCACUGCCAAGAAGCAUCUCGCCAGUAGUCCCCAAUUUCCCAGGAACCAGGCAAACAGCCCUGCCUUACUUGGAAGUGAAAUAAGGCCAUUGACUUUCUCCCGCUCCUUUCGGGUCCUCGGGGUCACUGAGCAGCCAGAUCCACACUGAGAACUGCUGUUCCCUUGCCCCAGAGGGCCUGGAAGGGAUCCCAAAAGCAGUUUCCCAUCCAGGGUGGAGGCUGAGAAAGCCCUGCAGAAAUGACGCCCGCGGCUGCUCCAAGUCCUCCAGCUGGCGCUUCUCAAGUGUGAGAAACACACGGGCCCUUUUCAACAGGGAGAUCUCGGAGAAUCCAGCUCAAAGGCACCUCUUGGAACAGCAAAAACCUAUUACCCAUGCACCGUCCUUGCAGGGGAGCGCUGCCCAGUGUCCCUUGGGCACAACUGGUGUCACUGGGAACGCGCCUGCAGCCCUGGCACCUGGGGAUGGACCUCAUCCUUCCUUUUAAAAUUCUUCUUUGAGGAGUUAAAGGGUUCACACUCAAACCUUCUCACUCUGCCUCGCGGCUCUGCUCCUGGGUUUAAGGGCAUCUGGUAGUCUCACCACCACCCCCCCCCGAAUACGAGGGGUUCCCUGGGUAUUUCAGAGAAGGGGGUGCAGUCAUGGGUGCAAUGCCACGAAGCCAGGCCACAAGCAUUGCUGUGUCGGAGAUCAAAGAGCCAGGGCAGGUGGCCAAGAGAGUCCUGGGGCGCCCCGGGGGCAGCAGGCAAAGCCGAGGUUUGCCUCCACUUCAUCAACAUCACAACACCGCAUGGCGCAGGACACAGUCAGGCCACCCCACCCCCUCUUAGGCCCCCAAGUGAAAGAACAAAGCCCAUCCCCUCCCUCGCUGAGCCUGGAGACACAGGUCAGACCCGCGCUGCUGUAAGAGCAUCUGGAAGCAGAUACAAAGGUGAUGAGUUCGCUACAUGCUUAUAACCGAAAGUGACCCUUCUUGAGAUGUCACCAGGGUAGGUGUGACCCAGCUGGAGUAAGAGAUUCGAGGUUGCAUAGUUGGGGGGGUGGUGAUUGGAAAACUCAAACCAUUUUACACUUGUGCUGAGGACUGAAAUGCCGUGAUCAUGGCCUGAAGGAUGGAUGGAGCUCACGGGGUCGGGGGGUGGGGUUGAACAGACUCGCCUGGGCCCAACCGUGGUCCAAACUGCACACGUGGUCACAUGCAUGGCCCUCUUUACAUGGGUCUUUUGCAUUGAUGGGUGGUCACUGUUGGGCAUAGUCUUGACGGAGGAGGGCCCAGUCAUCAGCCAAGCGACUGCUGAGCGCAUCUCAUGGUCUGAUGGCCAGAAUCAAACGUCGUGUCUUCACUGAACAUGGUCUCCACAUGGAACACUGGCCUGUCUAGAGGACUUCCUAGAAUCAGACUGUGGUUCCCUUAUUCAAAUGUAAUUGUGUACCACAGGGCCUUUGCAUAUGCGCCAACCAAAGAGCCAAGUGCAAACCAGCAUGUGCCUUGUGAAUGAACGCCUGCAAAACAAACCGCGUACACAAUGGCCACCCAACACAGUGCAGGAAAAAAGAUUGGAACUAAAAGAAGAGUUUUCACUGUGUGAUAGGACUCUAGGCAAUUUUUAUCACCUUCUUUUGGUUACUAUACAUUGUCCAAUUUUUGUGCAAUGAGCUUCUUUUUUGUUUUUACUGCCGCAUCUGUGGCAUAUGGAGACUCCCAGUCUGGGGUGGAAUUAGAGCUGUAGCUGCCAGUCUACGCCACAGCCAUAGCAACAGGGGAUCCGAGCUUCCCUGCAAGCUUCCCUGCAGCUUGUGGCAAUGCCGAAUCCUUAGCCCACUGAGUGAGUCCAGGGAUCAAACCUGAAUCCUCAUGGAUACUAGCUGGGCCCUUAACCCGCUGAGCCACAAUGGGAACUCCAGAAAUGUCCUCAUGAACGGUAGUACUCCAUGACAUUACUCCUGUCCAAGGAACUUGUUCACUUUGCUUUGAAAGAGGAGAAACAUAUAGGGCCAACAGAUGGAUCUCCAUGGACGUUCAGCAAGCCACCAUUUGCAGGGGACAUGGGAGCAGGAAGUUACUCCCGGUACUGCUAAGGAACGAUUUACAGGACUGACACUAAGAUUCGGCUCUGUGCCCAGAUGGCAAAGUUUACCUUUGCCUUGUGGGUUCUUUUCAAGGUUUCUAGUCAUUUUCUCAUAUGAAGUUAAGUCUCUUCCAAGAAAACUGCAUUAAGAUCAUCAUGAAGGCUUCCAAUGGAACAUUAUUCAGCCAUAAAAAGAACAACAUAAUGCCACUUGCAGCAACAUGGAUGGAACUAAAGACUCUCAUACUAAGUAAAGUCAGUCAGAGAAAGACAAACAUAUGAUAUAACUUAUAUGUGGAAUCUAAUAUAUGGCACAAAUAAACCUUUCCACAGAAAAGAAACUCAUAAACUUGGAGAACAGACUUGGGGUUGCCAAGGGGGAGGGGGAGGGAGUGGGAUGGACUGGGAAUCUGGGGUUAAUAGAUGCAAACUAUUGCAUUUGGAGUGGAUAAGCAAUGAGAUCCUGCUAUACAGCACUGGGAACUAUAUCUAGUCACUUGUGAUGGAGCAGGAUGGAGGAGAAUAUGAGAAAAAGAAUGUAUGUGUGACUGGGUCACUUUGCUGUACAGUAGAAAAUUGACAGAACGCUGUAAACCAACAAUAAUGGAAAAAAUAAAAUCAUUUAAAAAAUAAAUAAAAAUAAAGCAGACUGGAAAAAAAAAAAGAUCAUCGCGAAGAUUUCAAGUGAUCAUCUGGGCGGGCCAUUUAUUCUCUCACCUGAAGUGAUGAUUGCCUCUUUGCGACAUGAGAAUUGCUUGCUGGAGAUGUGAUUAUCAUGUCACCACCAGAGGAUCAAGCCUUGAGAGGGAGAGGCUUUGUGGGAGCAAAUGAACUUCCAGGAAACCAGGAUUCAAUUUUCAUGCAAAUGUCAAAGGUAAUCAGGAGAAAACAGGAAAGGCUGACAAUUUCACUUUCAUGCUACAUCUGUUAUUCUCACCACGGGGGUUCACAAUCUUUUCUAUGAGCUGCAAGCUGCCUUUCCAUUUCCUCCAGCCUCCAAGCAACAUGUUCUAUAAUCAUUAACUCAGCAAUGGGACACACAGGCACCUCACUUUCCUUUCUGGUGUAGGAGGGCACGGAGUGGGCUGAAUCAGGGGAUGCAAGCUGGAGAAAGCCAUGCAUCUUUAAGGCUAGCAUUCACUGUUUAAAGAUAAAAUGUCACCUGCUAUAUUUAAUUGAGCUGGUGUGUUUCCUAGAUGGCAGAGGGCUCUAAGGAUUUCCCUGCCGAAAGCAUUUUAUUAAUUUUGUUUAUUCCCUUUUCAGUACAAGCACACCACCUAUUUUCUUCCUCUGUAACUUACAUAUUGUUAACAUCGUUGCCUAAAGGGUAAAAACCUCAAUAAGGAGGGUUUAGGCUAUGAAUUCCAAAAGACUUGGAGUUCCCGUUAUGGAUCAGCGGACACAAUUCUGACUAGGAUCCAUGAGGUUGUGGGUUCAAUCCCUGGCCUCACUCAGUGGGUUAAGGAUCUGGCGUUGCCAUGAGUUGUGGUGUAUGUCGCAGACAUGGCUUGGAUCCCAUGUUGCUGUGGCUGUGGUAUACACCGGCAGCUACAGCUCUGACUUGACCCCUAGCCUGGGAUCCUCCAUAUGCCACCAGGGCAACCCUAAAAAGCAAAACAAAACAAAACAAACAACAAGAAAGACUCUUGUUUUCACCUUGUUUCUUGAAAAUAAUUUUACAGGUGAGGGUUCUGGGUAGAUGGGCUCCAGUUAAUUGACAUUUUAUUAUAUUUGUCCCUCAGAUUAAGUCUAAGACAUUGUUUUCGCUUAGAGGUCAGACUUAACAAAUGCAAGAAAGGAACAUGGGUUGUAAAUUUGACCUCGCUGACGGAGGAGCUGGAUCAAGUGACACCAGGGUUGGCCAGUCGCUGCUUUUGGGGAAUGUAGGUUUCCUGCUAAUAGCAUUUUCUCUCCUCAAACCUUUGAGUUCCUUCCAAAGAUCAUUUUAUGGCUGCCCUUCCUAUAACCCUCUGUCAGGCUUGGCUAGGUUCUGAUGUGAUUACAGACAGCGAUAAGUCUCCAUGGCCUGGCACUUAGAAGCUAAUUUGUUGCUCAUCCAGUGUCCUCUAUGGCCCAAAGGUGGGUGUCGUCCAUCUAGAACUAAGGGGUCAAGACGUUAUUAGACUUGUGGCUCUGCCCUCUUCCCAUAGGCCCCCUUGGCCCCCCAUGGAGAGGCAAGGCUUUUCCCCACCAUGGCUGGGAAGUGAUGUUCUUAUUACCUUGAGCAUAAAUCUUGGCCAGCCUAGACAUGGGGCUGCACUCAGCUACAGGAUGGUGAGAGGUGUGCUUUUCUGUGUUAGCAUCAGCAAGGAUGUGGAAGCAGACUUGGUUGACACCAAAUACUAUCUCUUCUACUGCAGUCUCUUUAAAUGAUGUGAGGAGAAGUAAAUGUAUUUUGUUGAGGUCUGAGACCUUGACAUAAGACAUACAUAAAAUAACAGACUAUAUAGACUAUAAAAUAUGAACUAUAUGGGGAGUUCCCAUCUUGGUGCAAUGGAAAUGAAUCUGACUAGGAACCAUGAGGUUGCGUGUUCAAUCCCUGGCCUCGCUCAGUGGGUAGAGGAUCCAGCAUUGCUGUGAGCUAUGGUGUAGGUCCCAGACACGGCUCAGAUCCCGUGUUGCUGUGGCUGUGGUGGAGGCCGGCAGCAACAGCUCCGAUUAGACCCCUAGCCUGGGAACCCCCAUAUGCCGCAGGUGUA